UGGGGAAUAUUGCACAAUGGGCGCAAGCCUGAUGCAGCCAUGCCGCGUGUAUGAAGAAGGCCUUCGGGUUGUAAAGUACUUUCAGCGGGGAGGAAGGCGAUAAGGUUAAUAACCUUGUCGAUUGACGUUACCCGCAGAAGAAGCACCGGCUAACUCCGUGCCAGCAGCCGCGGGAAUACGGAGGGUGCAAGCGUUAAUCGGAAUUACUUGGCGUAAAGCGCACGCAGGCGGUCUGUCAAGUCGGAUGUGAAAUCCCCGGGCUCAACCUGGGAACUGCAUUCGAAACUGGCAGGCUAGAGUCUUGUAGAGGGGGGUAGAAUUCCAGGUGUAGCGGUGAAAUGCGUAGAGAUCUGGAGGAAUACCGGUGGCGAAGGCGGCCCCCUGGACAAAGACUGACGCUCAGGUGCGAAAGCGUGGGGAGCAAACA
This 427-nucleotide ribosomal RNA is filed under the name uncultured bacterium. RNAcentral's name for it is "partial 16S ribosomal RNA". It matches the Rfam family "Bacterial small subunit ribosomal RNA", at positions 355 to 774 of the family's 1533-position model. The record is from RNAcentral.